This 468-nucleotide ribosomal RNA is filed under the name uncultured bacterium. Its description in RNAcentral is "partial 16S ribosomal RNA". It matches the Rfam family "Bacterial small subunit ribosomal RNA", at positions 28 to 507 of the family's 1533-position model. The record is from RNAcentral.
GAUGAACGCUGGCGGCGUGCUUAACACAUGCAAGUCGAACGGAAAGGCCCUGCUUUUGUGGGGUGCUCGAGUGGCGAACGGGUGAGUAACACGUGAGUAACCUGCCCUUGACUUUGGGAUAACUUCAGGAAACUGGGGCUAAUACCGGAUAGGAGCUCCUGCUGCAUGGUGGGGGUUGGAAAGUUUCGGCGGUUGGGGAUGGACUCGCGGCUUAUCAGCUUGUUGGUGGGGUAGUGGCUUACCAAGGCUUUGACGGGUAGCCGGCCUGAGAGGGUGACCGGCGACAUUGGGACUGAGAUACGGCCCAGACUCCUACGGGAGGCAGCAGUGGGGAAUAUUGCACAAUGGGCGGAAGCCUGAUGCAGAAACGCCGCGUGCGGGAUGACGGCCUUCGGGUUGUAAACCGCUUUCGCCUGUGACGAAGCGUGAGUGACGGUAAUGGGUAAAGAAGCACCGGCUAACUACGUG